UGGACACAGAGGAGUACAGAGCAAGUCACUGGCCAUAAGAGUGGGAUGCCCACAUUGGAAAAAAAGGGGUCAGCACAUCUGGAGUGCAAUGGAUAAGCCUUGCCCUGGGAAAACCACCUUCGUGAUCAUGGUAUCUCCCCUGCCAGGAAGAAGCAGCCCCUUUGGGGACGGGGUCUGGCGGAGACCGUCUGAAGACUGCCGACCGGCCUGAGAGGGUCCGGGGGAGGCGAUGCGCUUGGGUCUGCCAUCACAUCACGCACUUUCAAUCCAGCGGCAUAGCCCACUGGCUGUGGGGCGAUGUUGGGCUGAACGGCUUCCCCCAC
This is a long non-coding RNA of Artibeus jamaicensis (Jamaican fruit-eating bat), 323 nucleotides long. RefSeq lists it as uncharacterized. The record is from RefSeq and is a predicted model, not a curated record. The transcript is spliced from 4 exons. Lineage: Eukaryota; Metazoa; Chordata; Mammalia; Chiroptera; Phyllostomidae.